This 497-nucleotide ribosomal RNA is filed under the name uncultured bacterium. Its description in RNAcentral is "partial 16S ribosomal RNA". It matches the Rfam family "Bacterial small subunit ribosomal RNA", at positions 28 to 507 of the family's 1533-position model. The record is from RNAcentral.
GAUGAACGCUGGCGGCGUGCCUAAUACAUGCAAGUCGAGCGAACGGACGAGAAGCUUGCUUCUCUGAUGUUAGCGGCGGACGGGUGAGUAACACGUGGAUAACCUACCUAUAAGACUGGGAUAACUUCGGGAAACCGGAGCUAAUACCGGAUAAUAUUUUGAACCGCAUGGUUCAAAAGUGAAAGACGGUCUUGCUGUCACUUAUAGAUGGAUCCGCGCUGCAUUAGCUAGUUGGUAAGGUAACGGCUUACCAAGGCAACGAUGCAUAGCCGACCUGAGAGGGUGAUCGGCCACACUGGAACUCCGACACGGUCCAGACUCCUACGGGAGGCAGCAGUAGGGAAUCUUCCGCAAUGGGCGAAAGCCUGACGGAGCAACGCCGCGUGAGUGAUGAAGGUCUUCGGAUCGUAAAACUCUGUUAUUAGGGAAGAACAUAUGUGUAAGUAACUGUGCACAUCUUGCCGGUACCUAAUCAGAAAGCCACGGCUAACUACGUG